RNAcentral lists this ribosomal RNA (392 nucleotides) under uncultured bacterium. RNAcentral describes it as "partial 16S ribosomal RNA". It matches the Rfam family "Bacterial small subunit ribosomal RNA", at positions 523 to 918 of the family's 1533-position model. The record is from RNAcentral.
AUACGGAGGAUCCGAGCGUUAUCCGGAUUUAUUGGGUUUAAAGGGUGCGCAGGCGGCAAUUUAAGUCAGCGGUUAAAUCGUGGGGCUCAACCCCAUUCUGCCGUUGAUACUGGGUGGCUUGAUUGCGGUCGAGGUUGGCGGAAUUCGUUGUGUAGCGGCGAAAUGCAUAGAUAUGACGAAGAACACCGGUUGCGUAGGCAGCUGACCAGAUCGCAAAUGACGCUCAUGCACGAAAGUGCGGGGAUCGAACAGGAUUAGAUACCCUGGUAGUCCGCACAGUAAACGAUGAAUACUUGUUUUCGGCGAUAUAAUGUCGGAGGCAAAGCGAAAGCGAUAAGUAUUCCACCUGGGGAGUACGCCGGCAACGGUGAAACUUAAAGGAAUUGACGGGG